GAUGAACGCUGGCGGCGUGCCUAAUACAUGCAAGUCGAGCGAACGGACGAGAAGCUUGCUUCUCUGAUGUUAGCGGCGGACGGGUGAGUAACACGUGGAUAACCUACCUAUAAGACUGGGAUAACUUCGGGAAACCGGAGCUAAUACCGGAUAAUAUUUUGAACCGCAUGGUUCAAAAGUGAAAGACGGUCUUGCUGUCACUUAUAGAUGGAUCCGCGCUGCAUUAGCUAGUUGGUAAGGUAACGGCUUACCAAGGCAACGAUGCAUAGCCGACUUGAGAGGGUGGUCGGCCACACUGGAACUGAGACGCGGACCAGACUCCUACGAGAGGCAGCAGUAGGGAAUGUUCCGCAAUGGGCGGAAGCCUGACGGAGCAACGGCGCGUGAGUGAUAGAGGUCUUCGGAUCGUAAAACUCUGUUAUUAGGGAAGAACAUAUGUGUAAGGAACUGUGCACAUCGUGACGGUACCUAAUCAGAAAGCCACGGCUAACUACGUG
RNAcentral lists this ribosomal RNA (497 nucleotides) under uncultured bacterium. RNAcentral's name for it is "partial 16S ribosomal RNA". It matches the Rfam family "Bacterial small subunit ribosomal RNA", at positions 28 to 507 of the family's 1533-position model. The record is from RNAcentral.